AGAAUUUAUAUAUGAUGUCUUCUGAGAGCAACAGUUAGUGUCAGUAGAAGCCUGUUUAUUUUUAUUUUUUUUUGACAGACUGAGAAAGAAUCACUACUGAGUACAGAGGCAAGGAAAGGAAAAAAAAAAAAACAAACAGACAAAAAAAACAACACACUUCAAACAGAAAGUACCCAAAGUUCAUAAAAAAGGCACGUAAUCAUAGUCUUCCUAUGGUUAUACACACACAUGUGCAUGAUCACAUCAGUCCUUAACUUCAAUGGGAGUUGCUCACAUGUGUCUUUGGUCAGAUCUUGUCCCUAAGCUGAUGUAUGUCUGAAGGAAGUUUGGGCUCUGAUUCAGGUUCAAAUCAGGUUCAGUAUGGAAAAUCCUGAACUUAGAGCCAGACCCUAAAGCAGUCCUUCAAAGAGGCAAACAAACAGAGCAGACCAGCUUUUCUCCCUAGCUAGAGCUCUCUAGCCUUAGUUCAGGUCUAGCACACCCCUCUGCCUCCCUCUUAACCAAAAUAAUUAUUUUUAAAGGGAUCUUUAUUUCACUCAGGAGAAUACAGUACAGGCAGUUGGCUAGUGAUGGUGCCUUGGAGCUCAGCCACCUGGGGCGAGUGUGAGACUGCACAUGGAGGGGAAAGGAGAAAGCAGCAAGUGACAGAGACCCUGCUGCUACAAGAGCCUGGGAGACUCAUCCCAAAGAUUCCCAAAGAUUUGGCUAUUCCAUGCACAGGAAUAUCAUAUGAAUGAGACGAUCAUUCCUGACUCCCUGCAGGUUUUCAGCUGUGGUGUUGUAAACAUGAGCAGAACACUGAUGAGCAGAUUGGCAGGAAAAAGCCAGACUGUCUGAAAGGAAACAAAGUUGAGGACAAGCAUUAAGCCUUGAAAGAGACGACCAGGAACAUGCAGCGAUGACUUUUUCCAAAUGUCUUUCGUAACAAUUUUAUUACUCACCUAAAUCAGGAGAAAUUUGAAAUUUGACUGUAGUGUCAAAAAAAAACCUUUUUUUUUCUGUUGCCUGUAGGGGAAAAUUUGUAUAUUAUUAAUGUAAUAAAUCAAAGGUAUAUCCAUCA
This 1060-nucleotide long non-coding RNA is filed under the name Anas platyrhynchos platyrhynchos (common mallard). Its description in RNAcentral is "lncRNA (ENSAPLG00000021325.1)". The record is from RNAcentral. Lineage: Eukaryota; Metazoa; Chordata; Aves; Anseriformes; Anatidae.